Molecule: ribosomal RNA, 486 nt
Filed under: uncultured bacterium
Lineage: Bacteria
Description: partial 16S ribosomal RNA
Rfam family: Bacterial small subunit ribosomal RNA
Source: RNAcentral
AUUGAACGCUGGCGGCAUGCCUUACACAUGCAAGUCGAACGGCAGCACGGGUGCUUGCACCUGGUGGCGAGUGGCGAACGGGUGAGUAAUACAUCGGAACAUGUCCUGUAGUGGGGGAUAGCCCGGCGAAAGCCGGAUUAAUACCGCAUACGAUCUACGGAUGAAAGCGGGGGACCUUCGGGCCUCGCGCUAUAGGGUUGGCCGAUGGCUGAUUAGCUAGUUGGUGGGGUAAAGGCCUACCAAGGCGACGAUCAGUAGCUGGUCUGAGAGGACGACCAGCCACACUGGGACUGAGACACGGCCCAGACUCCUACGGGAGGCAGCAGUGGGGAAUUUUGGACAAUGGGCGAAAGCCUGAUCCAGCAAUGCCGCGUGUGUGAAGAAGGCAUUCGGGUUGUAAAGCACUUUUGUCCGGAAAGAAAUCCUUGGCCCUAAUACGGUCGGGGGAUGACGGUACCGGAAGAAUAAGCACCGGCUAACUACGUG